CUGGGUUUGACAUACACCGGAAACCUGCAGAGAUGUAGGCCCCCUUGUGGUCGGUGUACAGGUGGUGCAUGGCUGUCGUCAGCUCGUGUCGUGAGAUGUUGGGUUAAGUCCCGCAACGAGCGCAACCCUUAUCUUAUGUUGCCAGCGCGUAAUGGCGGGGACUCGUGAGAGACUGCCGGGGUCAACUCGGAGGAAGGUGGGGACGACGUCAAGUCAUCAUGCCCCUUAUGUCCAGGGCUUCACACAUGCUACAAUGGCCGGUACAGAGGGCUGCGAUACCGUGAGGUGGAGCGAAUCCCUUAAAGCCGGUCUCAGUUCGGAUCGGGGUCUGCAACUCGACCCCGUGAAGUUGGAGUCGCUAGUAAUCGCAGAUCAGCAACGCUGCGGUGAAUA
This 393-nucleotide ribosomal RNA is filed under the name uncultured soil bacterium. RNAcentral describes it as "bacterial SSU rRNA". It matches the Rfam family "Bacterial small subunit ribosomal RNA", at positions 975 to 1368 of the family's 1533-position model. The record is from RNAcentral.